CACAGUGAAAUACAGAUUAGACAUACAUAAAACCAAUAUAUUGUUAUACAAAUUGAAAUUCACAUCGUACUAGUGUUUCAACGAAAGACACGACUCCAAUCACCCCCUCAAUCUGACCUCUUUCCUUUCUCAUCACAGUUGACAAUUCCUUUUCCCUUGCUAAAAGUCAUGUCCAAUGAUAUGUCGGUGCCUCAUUUCUCGCUAAUUCUAGCUAGCCAUCAAAGAGUCUUGGCAAUUCUUUAUCUUCCUUGUCGCUCCUAAUUGACCGCAUGAUUAAUGAAACUCGGUUUCCUGUCUAAAGCUUCAUCGUUCACCUAAUCAAAGUAUCCACAGUCAUUACUACAGGUAAAGGACAAUCGCCCUUUUUACCGGUAUCCCGUUCGACCUCAAAACAUUUUCGAUAUCCGUGAUCACAACUGGGGAAUCGACGUUUUAAUUGGCAUUGUCCGAAGUAGUGCAUGUUACUUUUGCAACCAUAAUUGACUCCAAAAUUUAUUCCUCUCAUUCUAGCCGAUUGCUGUAAAUGAAACAAACUCAUUAAAAAGAUAGACUUAAAGAUGUAGUUAAAUGAUUGAUUAUACAUACAUAAGAUUGAAAAUAUGAUAAAAUAAAAGUUCAUCUUCCAUCGUACAUGCGUGAAAUUCCCUUGCAAAUGCUAGGAGGCUUUUUUUUUUUUUUUUACACACAAACUCAAGGCUUCAUUUCCUUUGCCAAGUGAGAACAUGUUUAUAAACAUAGCAUAUAUGAAUUUACUAGCUUACUAUGUGUGCAAAAGUAACUAUUUUACUUUUUUUUUUCCUACUAUACAACCUUGUAUUCAAUCUCAAAACUGGUGCAGGACAUUCUAUCUUCAUAAAACAACAAGAACAAUUCUCAUAAUACAUGUAUUCAAAAUAAUCGGUGCAGGAGAUUCCAUCUUGAUUUUCCCACCAUACACCCUUGUAUUCAAUCUCAGUAAAGAAACUUAUGCAAAACCGAGUUACCAACAAAGCUAAGAUGGUAGCAUUCAUCUUGAUAAACCAACAAGAAGUCUCGUAAUAAAUGUAACUUAUUCAAACAAAGAUUAAUCAACAUCCAAAAUCCAAACUUUCGUAAAGGGAAAACUUUGGAAAUUCAAUCGUGGUAGCUAUAAAAAACCAUUAUCCAAUCUCAGAAACUAUGUCAAACAACAACUUAACAAAUACUUAGAUUGAUGUCAGGGGAUGGAUGUGAGUGCGACAGCCAAUUCCAUCUCGGGGUACGAGCUUUGGGCAAAUUGACGGCGAAUCAUUUCUAUGAGUGGUGUAAAUGUGAAGAACGCGAUGUGGGCUCUUCGUUGACACCAGCUGUCGGUAACGGUAACUGUGACAGCCAACUUGGCUGCGGGAGAAGUUGCAUAUAUAUCAAUUUCAAUUUGGGGAAAAUGGGAAAACUUGUAUGGUUUUAGUGGGUGGGGUUGCCCUUUUGUUUUUUCCCUAUUUCUUU
Molecule: long non-coding RNA, 1464 nt
Filed under: Olea europaea (common olive)
Lineage: Eukaryota; Viridiplantae; Streptophyta; Magnoliopsida; Lamiales; Oleaceae
Description: long non-coding RNA (OEUR_LNC009625)
Source: RNAcentral